GUAAGGGAAUCUUCCACAAUGGGCGCAAGCCUGAUGGAGCAACACCGCGUGAGUGAAGAAGGGUUUCGGCUCGUAAAGCUCUGUUGUUAAAGAAGAACACGUAUGAGAGUAACUGUUCAUACGUUGACGGUAUUUAACCAGAAAGUCACGGCUAACUACGUGUCAG
This 166-nucleotide ribosomal RNA is filed under the name uncultured bacterium. Its description in RNAcentral is "partial 16S ribosomal RNA". It matches the Rfam family "Bacterial small subunit ribosomal RNA", at positions 353 to 511 of the family's 1533-position model. The record is from RNAcentral.